RNAcentral lists this ribosomal RNA (497 nucleotides) under uncultured bacterium. Its description in RNAcentral is "partial 16S ribosomal RNA". It matches the Rfam family "Bacterial small subunit ribosomal RNA", at positions 28 to 507 of the family's 1533-position model. The record is from RNAcentral.
GAUGAACGCUGGCGGCGUGCCUAAUACAUGCAAGUCGAGCGAACAGACGAGGAGCUUGCUCCUCUGACGUUAGCGGCGGACGGGUGCGUAACACGUGGAUAACCUACCUAUAAGACUGGGAUAACUUCGGGAAACCGGAGCUAAUACCGGAUAAUAUAUUGAACCGCAUGGUUCCAUAGUUAAAGUCGGUUUUUCUGUCACUUAUAGCUGAAUCCGCGCCGCAUUAGCUAGUUGGUAAGGUAACGGCUUACCAAGGCUACGAUGCGUAGCCGACCCGAGGGGGUGAUCGGCCAGCCGGGAAGUGAGACACGGUCCAGACUCCUACGGGAGGCAGCAGUAGGGAAUCUUACGCAAUGGGCGAGAGCCUGACGGAGCAACGCCGCGUGAGUGAUGAAGGUCUUCGGAUCGGAAAGCGCUGUUAUUAGUGAAGAACAAAUGUGUAAGUAACUAUGCACGUCUUGACGGUACCUAAUCAGAAAGCCACGGCUAACUACGUG